RNAcentral lists this ribosomal RNA (492 nucleotides) under uncultured bacterium. RNAcentral describes it as "partial 16S ribosomal RNA". It matches the Rfam family "Bacterial small subunit ribosomal RNA", at positions 29 to 507 of the family's 1533-position model. The record is from RNAcentral.
AGUGAACGCUGGCGGUAGGCCUAACACAUGCAAGUCGAACGGCAGCACAGUAAGAGCUUGCUCUUACGGGUGGCGAGUGGCGGACGGGUGAGGAAUACAUCGGAAUCUACUUUUUCGUGGGGGAUAACGUAGGGAAACUUACGCUAAUACCGAAUACGACCUACGGGUGAACGCAGGGGAUCUUCGGACCUUGCGCGAUUGAAUGAGCCGAUGUCGGAUGUGCUAGUUGGCGGGGUAAAGGCCCACCAAGUCGACGAUCCGUAGCUGGUGUGGGAGGAUGAUCAGCGACACUGGAACGGAGACACGGUCCAGACUCCUGCGGGAGGCAGCAGUGGGGAAUAUUGGACAAUGGGGGCAAGCCUGAUCCAACCAUACCGCGUGGGUGAAGAAGGCGUUCGGGUUGUAAAGCCCUUUUGUUGGGAAAAAAAAGCAGCAGGUUAAUACCCCGCUGUUCUGACGGUACCCAAAGAAUAAGCACCGGCUAACUUCGUG